GAUGAACGCUGGCGGCGUGCCUAAUGCAUGCAAGUCGAACGCAUUGAGAGAAGUGCUUGCACUUUUCAACUUGAGUGGCGAACGGGUGAGUAACACGUGGGCAACCUACCUGAUAGCGGGGGAUAACGAGUGGAAACAUUCGCUAAUACCGCAUAACAAUAGAGAAGGCAUCUUCUUUAUUUAAAAGGCGCUUUCAAGCGUCACUAUCAGAUGGGCCCGCGGUGCAUUAGUUAGUUGGUGGGGUGAAGGCCUACCAAGACGAUGAUGCAUAGCCGAGUUGAGAGAAUGAUCGGCCACAUUGGGACUGAGACACGGCCCAAACUCCUGCGGGAGGCUGCAGUAGGGAAUCUUCCACAAUGGAGGAAAGUCUGAUGGAGCAACGCCGCGUGUGUGAUGAAGGCUUUCGGGUCGUAAAGCACUGUUGUAUGGGAAGAAAUGCUAGGCUAGGAAAUGAGCUUAGUUUGACGGUACCAUACCAGAAAGGGACGGCUAAAUACGUGCCAGCCGCCGCCGUAA
RNAcentral lists this ribosomal RNA (516 nucleotides) under uncultured bacterium. Its description in RNAcentral is "partial 16S ribosomal RNA". It matches the Rfam family "Bacterial small subunit ribosomal RNA", at positions 28 to 523 of the family's 1533-position model. The record is from RNAcentral.